Molecule: ribosomal RNA, 505 nt
Filed under: uncultured bacterium
Lineage: Bacteria
Description: partial 16S ribosomal RNA
Rfam family: Bacterial small subunit ribosomal RNA
Source: RNAcentral
GACGAACGCUGGCGGCGUGCCUAAUACAUGCAAGUAGAACGCACAGUUUAUACCGUAGCUUGCUACACCAUAGACUGUGAGUUGCGAACGGGUGAGUAACGCGUAGGUAACCUGCCUGGUAGCGGGGGAUAACUAUUGGAAACGAUAGCUAAUACCGCAUAAUAUUAAUUAUUGCAUGAUAAUUAAUUGAAAGGUGCAAUUGCACCACUACCAGAUGGACCUGCGUUGUAUUAGCUAGUAGGUGAGGUAACGGCUCACCUAGGCGACGAUACAUAGCCGACCUGAGAGGGUGAUCGGCCACACUGGGACUGAGACACGGCCCAGACUCCUACGGGAGGCAGCAGUAGGGAAUCUUCGGCAAUGGACGAAAGUCUGACCGAGCAACGCCGCGUGAGUGAAGAAGGGUUUCGGAUCGUAAAGCUCGGUUGUAAGAGAAGAACGGGUGUGAGAGUGGAAAGUUCACACUGUGACGGUAUCUCACCAGAAAGGGACGGCUAACUACGUG